AACGAACGCUGGCGGCGUGCUUAAUACAUGCAAGUCCUACGAGAAAGUCCGACUUCGGUUGGGCGAGUAAAGUGGCGAACGGGUGAGUAACACGUGGGCAAUCUGCCUGUACGAGUGGGAUAAGCCCUGGAAACGGGGUCUAAUACCGCAUAAUAUCGCUUCGAGGCAUCUCGAUGCGAUCAAAGACGGGGUAACCUGUCGCGAACAGAUGAGCCCGCGGUCCAUUAGCAGUUGGUGAGGUAACGGCCCACCAAGGCAACGAUGGAUAGCCGGCCUGAGAGGGUGACCGGCCACACUGGGACUGAGAUACGGCCCAGACUCCUACGGGAGGCAGCAGUAAGGAAUAUUGCGCAAUGGGCGAAAGCCUGACGCAGCAACGCCGCGUGGAUGAUGAAGCUUUUCGGAGUGUAAAAUCCUUUCGACAGGAAGAAUAAUGUGUGACGUAACUGGCGCACAUCUGACGGUACCUGUAGAAGAAGUUCCGGCUAACUCCGUGCC
Molecule: ribosomal RNA, 498 nt
Filed under: uncultured bacterium
Lineage: Bacteria
Description: bacterial SSU rRNA
Rfam family: Bacterial small subunit ribosomal RNA
Source: RNAcentral